Molecule: ribosomal RNA, 446 nt
Filed under: uncultured bacterium
Lineage: Bacteria
Description: bacterial SSU rRNA
Rfam family: Bacterial small subunit ribosomal RNA
Source: RNAcentral
AGUCAAUAGAUACCCGGGUAGUCCACGCCCUAAACGAUGUCUACUAGUUGUUGGUGGAGUAAAAUCCAUUAGUAAACGCAGCUAAACGCGUGAAGUAGACCGCCUGGGGAGUACGGUCGCAAGAUUAAAACUCAAAGGAAUUGACGGGGGCCCGGCACAAGCGGUGGAUUAUGUGGAUUAAUUCGUAUGCAACGCGAAAAACCUUAACCUGGCCUUGACAUGCCACUAACGAAGCAGAGAUGCAUUAGGUGCCCGAAACGGGAAAGUGGACACGGGUGCUGCAUGGCUGUCGUCAGCUCGUGUCGUGAGAUGUUGGGUUAAGUCCCGCAACGAGCGCAACCCUUGCCAAUAAUUGCCAUCAUUCAGUUGGGCACUUAUUGGGACUGCCGGUGACAAACCGGAGGAAGGUGGGGAUGACGUCAAGUCCUCAUGGCCCGUUAUGGCCA